GAUGAACGCUGGCGGCGUGCCUAAUACAUGCAAGUCGAGCGAACGGACGAGAAGCUUGCUUCUCUGAUGUUAGCGGCGGACGGGUGAGUAACACGUGGAUAACCUACCUAUAAGACUGGGAUAACUUCGGGAAACCGGAGCUAAUACCGGAUGAUAUUUUGAACCGCAUGGUUCAAAGUGAAAGACGGUCUUGCUGUCACUUAUAGAUGGAUCCGCGCUGCAUUAGCUAGUUGGUAAGGUAACGGCUUACCAAGGCAACGAUGCAUAGCCGACCUGAGAGGGUGAUCGGCCACACUGGAACUGAGACACGGUCCAGACUCCUGCGGGAGGCAGCAGUAGGGAAUCUUCCGCAAAGGGCGAAAGCCUGACGGAGCAACGCCGCGUGAGUGAUGAAGGUCUUCGGAUCGUAAAACUCUGUUAUUAGGGAAGAACAUAUGUGUAAGUAACUGUGCACAUCUUGACGGUACCUAAUCAGAAAGCCACGGCUAACUACGUG
Molecule: ribosomal RNA, 496 nt
Filed under: uncultured bacterium
Lineage: Bacteria
Description: partial 16S ribosomal RNA
Rfam family: Bacterial small subunit ribosomal RNA
Source: RNAcentral